This 439-nucleotide ribosomal RNA is filed under the name uncultured bacterium. RNAcentral describes it as "bacterial SSU rRNA". It matches the Rfam family "Bacterial small subunit ribosomal RNA", at positions 29 to 507 of the family's 1533-position model. The record is from RNAcentral.
AAUGAACGCUGGCGGCAGGCCUAACACAUGCAAGUCGAACGGGAUCUUCGGAUCUAGUGGCGGACGGGUGAGUAACGCGUGGGAACGUGCCCUUUGCUUCGGAAUAGCCCCGGGAAACUGGGAGUAAUACCGGAUGUGCCCUUUGGGGGAAAGAUUUAUCGGCAAAGGAUCGGCCCGCGUUGGAUUAGGUAGUUGGUGGGGUAAUGGCCUACCAAGCCGACGAUCCAUAGCUGGUUUGAGAGGAUGAUCAGCCACACUGGGACUGAGACACGGUCCAGACUCCUACGGGAGGCAGCAGUGGGGAAUUUUCCGCAAUGGGCGAAAGCCUGACGGAGCAAUACCGCGUGAGGGAAGAAUGCCUAUGGGUUGUAAACCUCUUUUUUUCAGGGUAGGAAUAAAAUGACGUGUACCUGAAGAAUAAGCAUCGGCUAACUCCGUG